Molecule: long non-coding RNA, 472 nt
Organism: Ailuropoda melanoleuca (giant panda)
Lineage: Eukaryota; Metazoa; Chordata; Mammalia; Carnivora; Ursidae
Exons: 4
Source: RefSeq, a predicted model, not a curated record
GUUUCCUGUAAGAUGGGCCUGAUGGUAACUACCCACCGGGCUGGUUCUGCCGACGACGAGAGGAGCUGCCCGACACACUGCAAGGCACCAGCGAACAGCGAGCCUUCACCAUCUGAGGACACAGAGAGAAGGCAAGAUGGUGGUUGUUUGCAAGUCAGUUAGAGAGGUCUCACCAGGGACCAAAUGUUCUGGCAUCCUGAUCUUGAAAUUCCCAGUCUCCAGGACUGUAAGAGGAAUUUCGUCAAUUCCCGCGGCUCUCACAUCUGGACAGUGGCUGAGGUGCCAUCCGCAAGAAUGGAUACAUUGCUCAAAGGGCAGUCAUCUCUGUCAGCUCUAGGUCUAAAUACCUGGAAGGAGACUAAACUGAUAACCAAGAUUGUACCUGAGGAGACAUGUGAAACCAGAGCAUCAUCAAGGGACUGUUAGUUCUAUCACUGCUUGAUUUUUUUUUUAAUGAUGAAAAUGUGUGCAG